Molecule: long non-coding RNA, 2388 nt
Organism: Bos grunniens (domestic yak)
Lineage: Eukaryota; Metazoa; Chordata; Mammalia; Artiodactyla; Bovidae
Source: Ensembl
AUGGCGUCCUCUCCUUUUAACCAUAAGCAGGAGAAAGAAACGGAGAAGACAGUGCAUUUACUUCUUAAAACCGUCAGUCCGUGUGUGGUGGACAUCACUCCUGCUUACAUUCUGUCGGCAAGAGCAGCUUUCUGGCUACUCUGGGUGCAAGAAGAUAUCAAAAUUCAAGGAAUCCUGUGUUGUAAAGUAAACAGAAGAAAAGGAAGCAAGAGCACACAGAUGACACUCUGAAAAACUUUGGGAUUUAGUGCCUUUUUGAGACUUUCCUAUCCCAGAACAGAACACUCAGGGGCUGUGGGUACUGCUAUUGGAGAGAAGACCUGGGCUCCUGGAAAGGACUGAACUGUCUUUAUAUUGACAUCUGAAGUGAAGAGGCUUUGAAGACCUUCAGAAAUAUUUUCCCAUUACUCAUCCUUUAAACUGGAUCUUGGGAAUGCAGAUGUACAUUGUACAUGGAGCCCUGGGAAGUCUAAACAUCAUGGAAUGAAGGGUGGACCUUUCUAUUGUGAUCUAAGACUGAGGCCAUUCAGGGUUUUGAGUUGAAGUCUUUGCAAUGAGUUGAAAGUGUUUUAAGCCGGAGAUGGGCAAGUACUGGAGUCCGGGCCUGGCUCCUCUCCACAGUACUCCUUUGUUUAACUUGUCCUGCCCUGUCCUCUUUCUCCUCCUCCUCACAUCUCCAUUCUUCCUAUCCAAGUGUGUGUGUGUGUUUGUUUUCUCUUUUUUUUCCCUACUCUCUUUCUCCUUUUCCUUUUCUUGGGCAAUGUCUGACUCUAGCAGUUGCUUUCAGAUCUAAGAAACUUCUAAAGUUUGUUCCAGGGAAAAGUAGAAGAGACUAACUUGGGGAGAGGAGCUGGAUGAGGUGGAGAGAGAGAGAGGGGAGGGGUGACGACACAGGAUGUGAGUUGUUAGGUGCCAUAUGUGUCCUGACCUUGAGCCUCACGGUCUUCAUCCCAUGGGAGAGGAUUUGAAUCGACUCAGGGUGAGGAUGAGAUUGCCAGUGUCCCUCCCACUGCAGCUCCCCGUCUGCCUCUCUGACUGGGAGAGCCAUCCUUCCAACCUAGAGGCUCAAUGUGGCAUAGCUUCAUUUUCACACCUCCCUUACAGGCAGGACAGUAAUCUUCCAUAAUGGGUAGGAAGGAACAUUUGCUGACAGUCUUUGGGGAGAAAUUUUCUCCCCUUGAAAAUACGAUGCAUGAAGGAAAGACCUCUCUUUGUUUCUGGGUUCAUUCCUGCCUACCUGUGGUGUCUGGAACUGCUGCAGCAGCCUUGCUACCAUGACGAAGGCAUGGUGGAACACUCCAAGUAUGGUGGGGCAAAGACACAGAAAGGUCCUGUGUCCUUGAGACCACUGAGCUGCUCACCCAAGUUUGGAGCAUCUUAUAUAAUUGGCCUUCAUAUUUAAGGCAUUUUUUUUUACUUGGAGUUUCUGCUAUUUGCAGCUGAAAGAAAGCAUUUUGAUGAGAACAAGCAAGCAUGACCUCCUGGUUGGGCUUUAUUUUGUGCUGACUGUUAGUUUCUUUAGUGUCAUAUAUUAAACAGAUAAAGUUUUCUAUAUAUUUGUCCUCUUUCUCUACUGCUGUCUUCUGUCUCUAUUUGGAUUACUAUCCAGAAUCAGAAACUUCAUUCUUUGCUUGUUUCUAUAAAUUUUCCUAUUAAAAUGAAAUUCUUCAUAAGCCCAAAGUUUACAGCUCUCACACCAGAAUUAAAAAAAAAAAAAAUCAGUUUCAGUGAUCUUUUUCUGCUUUCUAAUGGGUGCUAAAAGAUACUGGCCUAAAUAAGGCAGAGUAUCACUUCUGGUAAGAUCUGUUAUAUUUUGCUGAUGCAAGCGCAAGAGGGGUCUUUCCUCUUGUUUUAUCCUUCCCUCUGUGUAUCUUUUCCAGAAACAAGGUCUGAAGGGUAUUUUGUAUUUAAUGAGUGGUGACUUGUAGUGAAAUAGUUUCUGGUGCCAUCAGCCCUCUUUGCAUUAUUGCUUCUGUGUGUGGCAAGAUAAAAAUUAUUUAUUAAUCUGUAAAGCCAGCUCAUCAUUUCACUCUGUUCCCUAAGAGCUUCUGGAUUUACUCAUUUGGUCUCUUUGUUCUGACCCCUCCAAGGAGAAUCCUAUAUUAUCUGUCAGCUUCUUAGGAUUCAGUGAAGGAGGAUCUGGAGGAAAGGAGGGUUGAGGCAGAAGGUGAUAAGAGAGGCUGGCCAGGAUGGGACUGAAGGAGGUUAUGGUGGAUUAAAGCUUGAGGAAAGGUAUAUGGGAACAGGUCUGGGUUCAGUUUAGGGGGCUGGGAGGUAUGCAUGCAGGGCUGGCAUUCACCCUGUUUGUAUUAGGAUGGCCCAAUUGAUUGCUCACCACCAGGGUUCCUUCUGAGAUCAGUCCCUGGGCUGUACCAGUUGUUAGUAUUU